AGUGGGGAAUAUUGGACAAUGGGCGCAAGCCUGAUCCAGCCAUGCCGCGUGAAUGAUGAAGGCCUUAGGGUUGUAAAGUUCUUUCACCGAUGAAGAUAAUGACGGUAGUCGGAGAAGAAGCCCCGGCUAACUUCGUGCCAGCAGCCGCGGUAAUACGAAGGGGGCUAGCGUUGUUCGGAAUUACUGGGCGUAAAGCGCACGUAGGCGGAUAUUUAAGUCAGGGGUGAAAUCCCAGAGCUCAACUCUGGAACUGCCUUUGAUACUGGGUAUCUUGAGUAUGGAAGAGGUGAGUGGAAUUCCGAGUGUAGAGGUGAAAUUCGUAGAUAUUCGGAGGAACACCAGUGGCGAAGGCGGCUCACUGGUCCAUUACUGACGCUGAGGUGCGAAAGCGUGGGGAGCAAA
Molecule: ribosomal RNA, 402 nt
Filed under: Paenirhizobium daejeonense
Lineage: Bacteria; Pseudomonadati; Pseudomonadota; Alphaproteobacteria; Hyphomicrobiales; Rhizobiaceae
Description: bacterial SSU rRNA
Rfam family: Bacterial small subunit ribosomal RNA
Source: RNAcentral